UUUAAAUAUGACCGCUUCCCCCGGACGUGACGCCGGGCUCCUCCCACCCCCCCCCAUUUGCAUAUGACCGCUUCCCGGACGUGACGUUUUUGCCGAUGACGACUUCCGCCUCAUUUGCGUAUGACCGCUUCCCGCGCGCAACUUCCGCCGGACGUGACGCCGGUCCCCACGGAUCUCAUCUGCAUAUCGCGCCGGCCCCUUCCGCUUCCCCCGGACGUGACGCCGGUCCCCACGGAUCUCAUCUGCAUAUCGCGCCGGCCCCUUCCGCUUCCCCCGGACGUGACGCCGGCUUCCGGGGCGCGGCCGGGGCGGGCUCCGCGGAUCGCAUCGGCGCGCCGAGCCUGCCCCUUCCGUCGCACCGGGGGUCCGCGGGCGGGGGCUUCCGCUCCGCGGCGCCCGCCCCAUUGGCUCCCCUCGCGCCACGCGGUCGCCGUCGUCAUCGUCCCGCCGGCCAAUCGGUGGCAGCGGGGGAGGCUGGGAGUGGGGACGGAAGACGGAAGCCAGAUGAACCUGUUCCGCCCGCUCUCCCACCGCCUUUCCCGCCCCUCCACGACGACCACCCGGGACCACCACCACCAACAACACCACCACCACCCCCCCCCCCCUCACGCACACACUUUACUACUAUCACCACCAGUGGGCGAUGGUUGCAACGGCAGUUCCCUGUACUGACCACCACCGUGUUUUUUUCUCUCUUUCUCUCUUUCCCCCCCCACCCCCCUCGACCACCGCAGGACCACCAUCGUCCAACUCCCGCCCGGGACCACCGGGACCCUCGGGACCAUCUACCUCCCACCAGGACCCGCCGGGACCACCAACACCGUCCACCUCCCACCACCACCACCACCACCAUCAAGGACCCCCAACAUCCCCAAGACCCUCUACUUCUUCCCACCAAGACCCUCCAGGAGGAGGACCCCCAUCUGCUAAGACCCACCAGGGACCCCCAUCUGCUAAGACCCACCACCACCAAGACCCUCCAGGAGGAGGACCCCCAUCCACUUCUUCCCAUCACCACCACCAAGACCCUCCAGGAGGAGGACCCCCGUCACCCCCACCAAGACCCUCCACCUCUUCUUCUUCCUCCCACCAGGGACCCCCAUCCACAAGACCACCUCCACCCCAGAGACCACCGCCAAGAUGGCCGCCUCCAUCUCCCCAAAAAAUCUCAGAGACUCGAGCUGGUUCAGAAAAUACAGCACAAACUUUAUUUUCUCACUCUGAAAACAAACUCUUUUCUCACCCGAUGGGAGAAGGAGGAGAAGGGGACCGGGGGACCGCGGGAGGAGGAGAAGGGGACCGGGACGAUCCUCCGCCGCCGAGCCCUCCGCCGCGGCCGCCGCCGCCGCUUCCACCACCGCCGCCACCUCCGCCGCCGCCGCAGCCACCUCCGGCCGGGGGAUCCGCGCGGAGGAGAAGGAGAGGAGGAGGGCCACCGGGCCGGGGAGGCAGGCGCCGGGGAGGCAAGCGCCGCCGGGCCGAGGGGACCGAGGCCGCCGCCGCGGACGCAGAGGAGGAGGAGGACGGGGACGGGGACGAGGACGAGGACGAGGACCGGGCCGAGGGCGAGGGGAGAGAAGACGGAGGAGAAGGGCCUCGAGGAGCCGGUGGAGGGGCCGGAGAGUCAGAGUCAGAGUCCGGCCGGGCCGAGGGGGCGCCCCGCUCAGCGGAGCAGCAGGUAGGGGUUGCCGGCGUCCUCGGCCUCCUCGUCGUCCGAGAUGGCCUCCACCUUGAUGGGCCCGAGCGGGCCGCGGGGCCGGCCGUCGCCGCCGCGGACGCCGACGAUCUCCACAGAGUCCCCGUCCUCGCCGGGGCCGGCCCCGGCGCCCGAGGCCCCCGCGGGCCGGUGGGUCUCCACGGCGCCCCCGGCGGCGGCGCGGACGCUGGUCUCGAAGGGGGCAAAGUCCCAGAGCACGGCCGGCGGGGCGCCCGCGGCGGCGACGGCGCCCGGGGUCAGCACCAGCGGGGCGGCCUCGGCGUCGGGCUCCAGCAGCGCCGCGGCGCAGAAGGCGCGCAACUCGGCCGGCAGGCCCUCGGGGCCGCGGAGCUCGGCGAGGCCCCGGCGGCCGCAGGAGACGAAGACGGGCCGCAGCGGGGCGCCGAGCCCCCAGCGGUUGGCCGCGCGGUGCCCGAAGGCGGCGCCCGCGUCAAAGUCCGGGUCCCCGAGCCCGAGCGCGGAGCGCUGGCGGGCCAUGUCCUUGCAGCCGUCCACGGUGGGGAGCACGCGCUGGCGGUAGGCGCGCGGCGGCAGCGGGACCGGGGUCCGGGGCCCGGCGCGGGUGCUCACCGUGUAGCGCACGUUGUCCUGGCGGCAGAGGCGCAGCGGCUCGGCCCCGGGGUGCAGGCGGGCGAAGGAGGCCUCCACGCGGGCGAAGCAGGCCGGGCCCACGAUGGAGCUAGAGUCCAGCACGGCCGCGCGGAGCUCGCGGCACCCGGGCCAGCGCACGGCGCACUGGGCGGCCGGGUCCAGGCGGGCGCGGACGUAGACGUGGUAGUCCCCCACGGCCGGGCCGUCCGCGGGCCAGUCCUCGAUGGUGUCCAGCACGAUGAGCCGGCGCCGCGCCGCGCCGAGCCGCGAGCAGAGGUACUCCACGGCGCCGGCGAAGCCGAGGUCCCGCGCCGAGAGCAGCAGCACCCCCUGGGCGUUGAGGCGGCCGAUGUCGGGGCGCCCGGUCCAGUUCCCGGCCCAGGCGUGCGAGUCCGGCGUGCAGAGGCGGUGGGCGAAGGCGGCGAGCAGCGCCGAGAGGCCGCCGCGGCGCGGGUCCCAGGCCGGGCGCGGGGCGCCCUCGGCGGGCUCGGCGCAGAGCUCCUCGUGGGGCAGCGGGUCGUAGAGCACCACCACGCGCACGUCCUCGGGGUCGGCUAUCUGCCGCAUCCAGGCGGCGCGGCGGCGGAGCGGGGCGCCCGCGGCCCCGCGGCGCGCGGCGAUGUGCGCCAGGGCGGCCGGGUCGAAGGUGAGCGCCGGGCGCCAGAGUUCGGGGAAGACCUCCUGGUCCACGAGGGCGCGGGCCACCUCGGGCGGGCAGUAGGCGGCGAGGGCCGCCUCGGAGGGCCGCGGCGUGUGGGUCUCGCCGGCCGGGACGCGGCGGAAGCCGCCGUCGGGCGCGGGGUGCUCGGGCAUGGGCCCGAGCGGGCGCCGGAGCCGGUCGUCCUCGGAGGAGGAGGAGGAGGAGGACAGCAGCGCGGGAGCGGGGUCCGGAGCGGGCCCGAGUCCGAGGGAGCGGCGCUUGCGCCGGGGCCCCCGGUCCUCUUCGUCGUCGCGGUGGCCGUGGCCGUCCCCGCGGAGGGCCGCGCCGGAGAGCCCCUCGUCCUCCUCGCCGUCCCCGGGGCGGCGGGCCCCGGGCGCGCGGCGCUUCUUCUUGCGCCGCUCGGGCGCUGGGUCCGGGCCGGCGGCGGGGGAGCUGGCGUAGCCGGAGGAGCCGGAGAGGCCGGACUUGGUGCUGGAGCUGGACUUGGUGCUGGAGCUGGACUUGGUGCUGGCGGGGCUGGAGGGCCCGGAGCCGGGGAGGCCGGAGGGGGCGCCCGCCGCCGCCGGCGCCGGCGCUGGGACGACGAGGCCGGGCUGCUCGGGCCAGAGCGGGGGCAGGCCGGGCGCGGGCUCCGCGGGCCCGGGCCGCGCGGCGGCCUCGGCGAGCCGGGCCGCGGCCACGUUGGCCGGGGCGAAGAGGGCCGCGGCGUAGGUCCAGGCGGCCUCGCGGGCGCGGGCCCCGUCCACGCUGUAGCGCACCAGCGGCGCCACGGUGCGGGCGACGAGGGCGACAGAGUCCGCGGCCUGCCGCCGCUCGGCCGGGCCGGCCCCGGGGAUCGCGUCGCGGAGCGCGAGCAGCGCGGCCGUCACCUCCUCGAGGCAGGCGGGCCCGAGGGCGGCCGGGGCGCGGGCGGGCGCGGGCAGCCGGAGCGGGCAGGGCAGCAGGCGCUCGAGGACGCCGCGGCAGGCCAGGACGCAGGCGUCCGCCAGCUCGCGGGGCACGCGGCCGGGCUGCGCGGCGGCGAAGGCGGCGCGGACGCGGGCGCAGAGGGCCUCGACGGUCGCCUCCCCGGCGCGGGGGUCCGCGGCGCGGCCCGGGUAGGCCAUGUCGGCGUAGGCCCGGCGGAGGCUCUGCAGGAUGAAGGUCUUCUGGGUGCGAUCGUAGCGGCGGCUCAUGGCCACGGCGCUCACCGCGUGCGGCAGGGCCCAGAGCGGGUCCUGGGCGGCCAUGGCGUCCCCGAUGUGCGGCAGCGGCGGGGUCACGCUGCCGGUGAUGAAGGAGCCGUGGCCGUGGGGCGCGUGGACCCGGCGCUGGCAGAACUGGUUGAAGCGCUGGUCGGGGGCCUGCAUCCGCGGGUUCUGCAGCCAGGACAUGGCCUCGCCGGCGGCCCCGCUGUAGAUGAGGCGCACGAGGGCCUCGUGCUGCUUCCUCGAGUCCCCCAUCUCCGGGAUGAAGACGGGCACGGGCCCGGCCGCGGCGCGGUAGCGGGCCGCGGCCUGGCGGACGUCGUCCUCGUCCCAGAGCCCCUCGCGGGAGUCCCCGGCGCCGCCGUAGCGGACGCGGCCGUCGGCCGGAGGGUCGGAGCCGGGCCAGGGCUCCCCGAGCGGGGUGAGCAGCGGCCCGUCGGUCGGCGGGGGCCCGUCGGCCAUGAGCGAGAGGUGGUUGUUGGUGGAGCGGCGCUUCCUGCGCGGGGGCCGGGCGGGCUCCGGGGCCGGGGCCGGGGAGGCCGCGGCGGAGGAGGAGGCGGAGGAGGCCGAGGGCCGCGGGGCCGCGGCGGGCGCCGGCGGAGACGGUGGCGGCCCGGCGCGGGCGAGUGGGGCGCCGGGCCGGACUCCUUCGUCUUCUUCUCCCUCGGAGGAGGACGAGGACGAGGAGGACGAGGAGGACGAGGAGGACGAGGACGAGGAGGAGGCCGAGCGCCGCGCGGCGGCGGCGGGGGCCCGGGGGGCGGAGGGCGAGCGGGCCGGGGAGAGGUCCGAGUCGCUGCCGCUGCUGCUGGAGCUGCUGAAGCCGCGGCCGCGGCGGAGGGCGCCCUCUCCGGCGCGGCGCCGGCGGGGCUGUCUCUGCGGGGGCGCCCCGCCGUCCCCGGCGAGGCCGAGUCCGUCCUCGUCCUUCUCGGGGCCGCGGGCGACGGUCUCGACGGCGACGGUGGUGGUGGAGUUGGAGUUGGAGUUGGGGUUGGAGGAGACGGGGCUCCGGGCGCCAAGCGGCCGAGGAUCGAGCCGCCUCGCGGCGGCGGGCUCGUCGAGCAGGGGCUCGCGGUGCUGGUGAUGGUGACGACCGCGGUCCCCUCCGGCGGAGGGGGCGCCGCCGCCGCCGGGCGCCGAGACCGGCCCGGCGGCGGGGGAGGCUGGGGAAGCGGGCCCCCGCCGUGCCGGCGCUGCGGCCACCGCUGCUGGCUGUGCUGGUGGCGCCGGGGUCCGAGGCCGCGCCGCCGGCCCGGGCUCACCGACCGGGUCCCCCCUCGCGGGGGACCAUCUCCGCGGGGCUGCCGAGGGGCCGGGAGAGCCGGAGGAGGAGGCCGGGGAGGCUGCGGAGGGGGACGAGCGCCCGGGGCCGCCGGGGGCCCCGGCCUCUGCCGCUGCGAGUGCUGCCGGGGUCGGCGGCCGGGGCCCGGAGCCGGCCCGGGACCGGGGCCCGAGGACGAGGUGACCGUGCUCGGAGCCCUGAUGGAGAGCCCGACCGGGGGACCCGGCGGCCGGGGACCCGGGCUCGUCCUCCUCCUCGUCUUCGUCGUCUAGCACCACGAUCUCGCCCGAGCCCCGGCGGGGCUGCUGCUGCUGCUGGGCCGAAGGAGGACGGGGCGGCCUCGUGGCUCCGGCCGCGGCCGCGAGGACGGCGGCCUCGGCCUCGGCGGCGUCGUCGGAGAAGAGGCCGCCCGGGCCGAAGAGGAGAUCCUCGCCGGAGGAGCCGCGGCGCCGGGAGCCCUGGCUGCCGCCGUCGGGGCCGGACGCGAUGCCCUCUUCCUCGGCCGCGGCGGCGGCGGCCGCCAGGAGCUGGCUGAAGUUGCCCUCGGUCUCGAUGAAGUCAAAGAGAUCGUCGGCCAUGGUCUCGAUCGGGGUCUUUCUGCCUGAGCGAGGCCGGGCGCCGAGCGCGGAGAGCGGGCGGCGGAGAAGAAGGAGGAAGGCGGCCGGAGGAGGAGAAGAAGAAGACUCUUCUCUGGCGGGCCGAGAGCCUCGGUGGGUCGGGCGUCCGUCGAGGGCUGAUAGCCGCCGGAGAGCCGGAGUCUUCAGAGUCCGCGCCGGAGCGGAGACGGUCGGAUCCCCUCGGGUUGGCAGAGAACGAUGCUGUCCGUACCUGCACCGCAGUGAAGUGCUACGAUGGAGACCGCGCUUAUAAGCGCCCCGAGGAGAGCCCGCCCCCAGGUAAGCGGACCAAUGGCCGAUUUUCGCCGCGGACUUCCCCGACGGCCGGCCAAUGGGAUUUUUCUCGCCCGCUUCCUCUCGCGUCUGCUUUGCAUGCCCGGCCCAAGAUGGCGGCCGCCGGCCAAUGGGAUUUCGCGAGGAACUUCCUCGCGAGGACCAUUUGCAUGCCCGGCCCCCGCGGCGGCCAUCUUGCCCACUCGACGGCCAAUGGGAUUUCUCUCGCCCACUUCCUCUCGCGUCUACUUUGCAUGUCCGGCCCCGAGGGCGCCAUCUUGGCCCCUCGACGGCCAAUGGGAUUUCUCUCCCUACUUCCUCUCGCGUCUACUUUGCAUGUCCGGCCCCCGCGGCGGCCAUCUCGGCUCGCCCGGGCCAAUGGGCGCGCGGAGGCGUCUCCCGCGCGCCUCUGAUUUGCAUGCCCGGCCCGCUCUGCGGCCAUCUUGGCCGCGGGCGGCCAAUGAGAUUGUCCGAAAAUCCCUCGCGCGGGCGCGAGGCGCAUGCUCGGCACGCGACCCACCCCCGUGGUGCUAGCGAGCCAAUCAGAUGAUUUUCGGGGAAGCUUCCGUGUGCACGUCAUUUGCAUGCUCGCCCCACGUGGCCGCCCUCGGCCAAUGGGGCCUCACGGUGCAAGCUUCCGUGUGUCUGCACGUGGUCCGCAUGUGUUGUGGUGGUCUCUGUGUUGUGUGGUGGUCUCUGUGUUGUGUGGUGGUCUCUGUGUUGUGUGGUGGUCUCUGUGUUGUGUGGUGGUCUCUGUGUUGUGUGGUGGUCUCUGUGUUGUGUGGUGGUCUCUGUGUUGUGUGGUGGUCUCUGUGUUGUGUGGUGGUCUCUGUGUUGUGUGGUGGUCUCUGUGUUGUGUGGUGGUAUCACCGCCUCCCCCUGCCACUCGCGAGACCCCGAGACCCCCGUUUCCCCCUCCUCGAGACCCCUGAGACCCCCGAGACCCUCCCGCGACCCCCGCGGUCGCCCCACCCGCGCCUGCGCGCUCGGCGCGCGCUCCGAGGGCGCCCCCAGCCGGUCGGAGAGACGAGCGGAACCGCCGUCGGACCGGGGACCGGCGACCGGACCCGAACCGGGAAGCGACGCCGGGGCGGGAGAACCGGACCCGAACCUCGAGCCCGGACCCGCCCGGACCCGGAAGGAAGGAGCCGGACAGCCACGCCUUGGAUACUUUUGUCGCCCACCCACCCCCUCCUCUCCCCCACCCCUCUAUCUCUCUCUCCCGGUCCCCCCUCCCACCCCACGAGACACGCCCCAGAGUGAAAAAAAAAAUAAAAGUUGUUCUCGUUGCACCGUC
RNAcentral lists this long non-coding RNA (7625 nucleotides) under Suid alphaherpesvirus 1. RNAcentral's name for it is "AST". Lineage: Duplodnaviria; Heunggongvirae; Peploviricota; Herviviricetes; Herpesvirales; Orthoherpesviridae. The record is from RNAcentral.